UGGCGGCAUGGAUUAGGCAUGCAAGUCGAACGGAGAAGCAGAUGCUUGCAUCUGUGGAUUAGUGGCGAAAGGGUGAGUAACGCGUGAACAAUCUGCCCCUAAGUUGGGAAUAGCCUCGGGAAACUGGGAUUAAUACCGAAUGUGGUCCUCUAUCGCAUGUUAAAUAUUUAAAAAUUUAUUGCUUGGAGAUGGGCUCGCGUCCCAUUAGCUAGUUGGUGGGGUAAUGGCCUACCAAGGCACCGAUGGGUAGCUGGUCUGAGAGGAUGAUCAGCCACACUGGGACUGAGACACUGCCCAGACUCCUACGGGAGGCUGCAGUCGAGAAUCUUCCGCAAUGGGCGAAAGCCUGACGGAGCAAUGCCGCGUGCAGGAUGAAGGCCUUAGGGUUGUAAACUGCUGUCACCGGGGACGAAAUUUGACGGUACCCGGAGAGGAAGCACCGGCUAACUACGUGCCAGCAGCCGCGGUAAUACGUAGGGUGCAAGCGUUGUUCGGAUUUAUUGGGCGUAAAGGGUCCGCAGGGGGUUUACUAAGUCUGAUGUGAAAUCCCGUGGCUCAACCACGGAACUGCAUUGGAAACUGGUAAACUAGAGUACUGGAGAGGUAAACGGAAUUCCUGGUGUAGCGGUGGAAUGCGUAGAUAUCAGGAAGAACACCGAAAGCGAAGGCAGUUUACUGGACAGUUACUGACACUGAGGUACGAAAGCUGGGGGAGCGAAGAGGAUUAGAUACCCUCGUAGUCCCAGCCGUAAACGGUGUCGACUUGGUGUGGGGGGAAUUGACCCCUCCCGUGCCGGAGCUAACGCGUUAAGUCGACCGCCUGGGGAGUACGGCCGCAAGGCUAAAACUCAAAGAAAUUGACGGGGGCCCGCACAAGCGGAGGAGCAUGUGGCUUAAUUCGAUGCAACGCGAAGAACCUUACCCAGACUUGACAUAUAACUGCACGUCCUAUGAAAGUAGGAUUUCUUCGAGAGUGUUAUACAGGUGCUGCAUGGCUGUCGUCAGUUCGUGCCGUGAGGUGUUUGGUUAAGUCCAGCAACGAACGCAACCCUUGUGACUAGUUGCCACCGGAGGUGAUGAGCCUUCGAGCACUCUAGUCAGACUGCCCUUGCAAGAGGGAGGAAGGUGGGGAUGACGUCAAGUCAGUAUGGCCCUUACGUCUGGGGCUGCACACGUGCUACAAUGGCCGGUACAGAAGGUCGCAAUACCGUGAGGUGGAGCUAAUCCUCAAAACCGGCCCCAGUUCGGAUUGGAGUCUGCAACUCGACUCCAUGAAGUUGGAUUCGCUAGUAACGGCGUAUCAGCUACGACGCCGUGAAUACGUUCCCGGGCCUUGUACACACCGCCCGUCACAUCAUGAAAGCCGUCUGCACCCGAAGUCGUUGAUCUAACCAUUUAUGGAGGAAGGCGCCGAAGGUGUGG
RNAcentral lists this ribosomal RNA (1422 nucleotides) under uncultured prokaryote. Its description in RNAcentral is "partial 16S ribosomal RNA". It matches the Rfam family "Bacterial small subunit ribosomal RNA". The record is from RNAcentral.